This 300-nucleotide ribosomal RNA is filed under the name uncultured Amorphus sp. RNAcentral describes it as "bacterial SSU rRNA". It matches the Rfam family "Bacterial small subunit ribosomal RNA", at positions 496 to 795 of the family's 1533-position model. Lineage: Bacteria; Pseudomonadati; Pseudomonadota; Alphaproteobacteria; Hyphomicrobiales; Amorphaceae. The record is from RNAcentral.
GCUAACUCGGUGCCAGAAGCUGGGGGAAAAGGGGGGGUAGGGGCGUUAAUCGGAAUUACUGGGGGUAAAGAGGGGGCCGGCGGCCGCGCAAGUGGAGUGUGAAAGCUCCGAGCGUAACUUGGGAACUGCGCUCGAAACUACGUGGCUGGAGUGUGGCAGAGGAAGGUGGAAUUCCAGGUGUAGCGGUGAAAUGCGUAGAGAUCUGGAGGAACACCGAUGGCGAAGGCAGCCUUCUGGGCCAACACUGACGCUCAUGCACGAAAGCGUGGGGAGCAAACAGGAUUAGAUACCCGUGUAGUC